This 558-nucleotide ribosomal RNA is filed under the name Thermoplasmatota archaeon. RNAcentral's name for it is "bacterial SSU rRNA". It matches the Rfam family "Archaeal small subunit ribosomal RNA", at positions 1 to 563 of the family's 1478-position model. Lineage: Archaea; Methanobacteriati; Thermoplasmatota. The record is from RNAcentral.
AUUCCGGUUGAUCCUGCCGGAGGUCACUGCUAUUGGGAUUCGAUUAAGCCAUGCGAGUCGAGAGGGUUCGGCCCUCGGCAGACUGCUCAGUAACACGUGGAUAAUCUGCCCUUAGGUGGAGCAUAACCUCGGGAAACUGAGAAUAAUUCUCCAUAGGUCUAGGAUGCUGGAACGCGCCUAGACUAAAAGAUUUAUCGCCUAAGGAUGAGUCUGCGGACUAUCAGGUUGUAGUCAGGGUAAAGGCCUGACUAGCCUACGACGGAUACGGGUUGUGAGAGCAAUAACCCGGAGAUGAUAUCUGAGACACGAUAUCGGGCCCUACGGGGCGCAGCAGGCGCGAAACCUUCACACUGUGCGAAAGCGCGAUGAGGGGAUCCCAAGUGCUUGCUCUUAGGAGUAAGCUGUUUUUCUGUUUAAAUCGCAGGAAGAGUAAGGGCUGGGUAAGACGGGUGCCAGCCGCCGCGGUAAUACCUGCAGCUCAAGUGGUGACCGCUAUUAUUGGGCCUAAAACGUCCGUAGCCGGCUGAGUAAAUGCCUGGGUAAAUCGUGUCGCUUAAC